Molecule: ribosomal RNA, 497 nt
Filed under: uncultured bacterium
Lineage: Bacteria
Description: partial 16S ribosomal RNA
Rfam family: Bacterial small subunit ribosomal RNA
Source: RNAcentral
GAUGAACGCUGGCGGCGUGCCUAAUACAUGCAAGUCGAGCGAACGGACGAGAAGCUUGCUUCUCUGAUGUUAGCGGCGGACGGGUGAGUAACACGUGGAUAACCUACCUAUAAGACUGGGAUAACUUCGGGAAACCGGAGCUAAUACCGGAUAAUAUUUUGAACCGCAUGGUUCAAAGGUGAAAGACGGUCUUGCAGUCACUUAUAGAUGGAUCCGCGCUGCAUUAGCUAGUUGGUAAGGUAACGGCUUACCAAGGCAACGAUGCAUAGCCGACCUGAGAGGGUGAUCGGCCACACUGGAACUGGGACACGGUCCAGACUCCUACGGGAGGCAGCAGUAGGGAAUCUUCCGCAAUGGGCGAAAGCCUGACGGAGCAACGCCGCGUGAGUGAUGAAGGUCUUCGGAUCGUAAAACUCUGUUAUUAGGGAAGAACAUAUGUGUAAGUAACUGUGCACAUCUUGACGGUACCUAAUCAGAAAGCCACGGCUAACUACGUG